Molecule: transfer RNA, 71 nt
Filed under: Phrynosoma platyrhinos (Desert horned lizard)
Lineage: Eukaryota; Metazoa; Chordata; Lepidosauria; Squamata; Phrynosomatidae
Description: tRNA-OTHER
Source: RNAcentral
GCCAGCAUGGCUAGUGGUUUGAGCGUUGGACUACGACUCUGGAGACCAGGGUUCGAUUCUCUGCUCGGCCU